This 693-nucleotide ribosomal RNA is filed under the name uncultured bacterium. RNAcentral describes it as "bacterial SSU rRNA". It matches the Rfam family "Bacterial small subunit ribosomal RNA", at positions 38 to 742 of the family's 1533-position model. The record is from RNAcentral.
GGCGGCAUGGCUAAGACAUGCAAGUCGAACGGACUAUGUUGAAGAGUAAUCGGAUUCAUAGUUAGUGGCGAAAGGGUGAGGAAUAGAUAGGUAACGUACCUUUGGCUUCGGAAUAGCUCAUCGAAAGGUGGGGUAAUGCCGGAUGAUGUCAUUGGCUUAAUGUCGAUGACCAAAGAUUUAUCGGCCAAUGAGCGGCCUAUCUCCUAUCAGCUAGUUGGUGAGGUAACGGCUCACCAAGGCGACGACGGGUAGCGGGACUGAGAGGUUGGCCCGCCACAUCGGGACUGAGACACUGCCCGGACCUCCACGGAGGGCUGCAGUAACGAAUAUUGGGCAAUGGGCGAAAGCCUGACCCAGCAAUGCCGCGUGUAGGAUGAAGCCUUUCGGGGUGUAAACUACUUUCAGGGAUUAGAAAGCUACGGUUGAUCAAUCCCAGAAGAAGUCACGGCUAACUUCGUGCCGGCAGCCGCGGUAAUACGAAGGUGGCAAGCGUUAUUCGAAAUCACUGGGCUUAAAGGGUGCGUAAGCGGAUCUGAAAGUGUCUUGUGAAAUCCCUCGGCUUAACCGAGGAAUUGCUCGGCAAACUACAGAUCUUGGGGCAAGUAGGGGUGUGUGGAACUCUUGGUGGAGCGGUGGAAUGCGUAGAUAUCAAGAGGAACGCCGAAAUGAAGACAGCACACUGGACUUGUACUG